Molecule: ribosomal RNA, 414 nt
Filed under: uncultured cyanobacterium
Lineage: Bacteria; Bacillati; Cyanobacteriota
Description: bacterial SSU rRNA
Rfam family: Bacterial small subunit ribosomal RNA
Source: RNAcentral
UUCCGCAAUGGGCGAAAGCCUGACGGAGCAAGACCGCGUGGGGGAAGAAGGCUCUUGGGUUGUAAACCCCUUUUCUCUGGGAAGAAAGUUGUGAAAGCAGCCUGACGGUACCAGAGGAAUCAGCAUCGGCUAACUCCGUGCCAGCAGCCGCGGUAAGACGGAGGAUGCAAGCGUUAUCCGGAAUGAUUGGGCGUAAAGCGUCCGCAGGUGGCAGUUCAAGUCUGCUGUCAAAGACCGGGGCUCAACCUCGGAAAGGCAGUGGAAACUGAACAGCUAGAGUAUGGUAGGGGCAAAGGGAAUUCCUGGUGUAGCGGUGAAAUGCGUAGAGAUCAGGAAGAACAUCGGUGGCGAAGGCGCUUUGCUGGACCAUAACUGACACUCAGGGACGAAAGCUAGGGGAGCGAAAGGGAUUAG